AAUGAACGCUGGCGGCGCGCCUAAUACAUGCAAGUCGAGCGAGAAGACGUAGCAAUACGUUUGUAAAGCGGCGAACGGGUGAGGAAUACAUGGGUAACCUACCCUCGAGUGGGGAAUAACUAGCCGAAAGGUUAGCUAAUACCGCGUACGCUCCUUGGACUUCGGUUCAGGGAGGAAAGCGAUACCGUGGGUAUCGCGCUCUUGGUUGGGCUCAUAUCCUAUCAGCUUGUUGGUGAGGUAACGGCUCACCAAGGCUUCGACGGGUAGCUGGUCUGAGAGGACGAUCAGCCACACUGGCACUGCGACACGGGCCAGACUCCUACGGGAGGCAGCAGUAAGGAAUAUUGCGCAAUGGGCGAAAGCCUGACGCAGCGACGCCGCGUGGGGGAUGAAGGUCUUCGGAUUGUAAACCCCUUUCGGGAGGGAAGAUGGAAUGGGGUAACCCAUUCGGACGGUACCUCCAGAAGCAGCCACGGCUAACUUCGUGCCAGCAGCCGCA
This 499-nucleotide ribosomal RNA is filed under the name uncultured bacterium. RNAcentral's name for it is "bacterial SSU rRNA". It matches the Rfam family "Bacterial small subunit ribosomal RNA", at positions 29 to 519 of the family's 1533-position model. The record is from RNAcentral.